AUUGAACGCUGGCGGCAUGCCUUACACAUGCGAGUCGAACGGCAGCACGGGAGCAAUCCUGGUGGCGAGUGGCGAACGGGUGAGUAAAGUAUCGGAACGUGCCCAGUCGUGGGGGAUAACGUAGCGAAAGUUACGCUAAUACCGCAUACGAUCUAUGGAUGAAAGCGGGGGAUCGCAAGACCUCGCGCGAUUGGAGCGGCCGAUAUCAGAUUAGGUAGUUGGUGGGGUAAAGGCUCACCAAGCCGACGAUCUGUAGCUGGUCUGAGAGGACGACCAGCCACCCUGGGACUGAGAAACGGCCCAGACUCCUACGGUAGGCAGCAGUGGGGAAUUUUGGACAAUGGGCGCAAGCCUGAUCCAGCCAUGCCGCGUGCAGGAUGAAGGCCUUCGGGUUGUAAACUGCUUUUGUACGGAACGAAAAGGUUUGACUUAAUACGUUGGACUCAUGACGGUACCGUAAGAAUAAGCACCGGCUAACUACGUGCCAGCCGCCGCAGUAA
RNAcentral lists this ribosomal RNA (500 nucleotides) under uncultured bacterium. RNAcentral's name for it is "partial 16S ribosomal RNA". It matches the Rfam family "Bacterial small subunit ribosomal RNA", at positions 30 to 523 of the family's 1533-position model. The record is from RNAcentral.